Molecule: long non-coding RNA, 96 nt
Organism: Corapipo altera (White-ruffed manakin)
Lineage: Eukaryota; Metazoa; Chordata; Aves; Passeriformes; Pipridae
Exons: 3
Source: RefSeq, a predicted model, not a curated record
UAUGUACGUCCUGCUGUUGGUCCUGGAAGUCGUCAGUGCAGUUCCUGACCUGUCAAAGUUCACUCCAUGGCACAGUCGGAACAGCACAGGUCUGAA